Oncorhynchus keta (chum salmon) is the source of this 1350-nucleotide long non-coding RNA. RefSeq lists it as uncharacterized. The record is from RefSeq and is a predicted model, not a curated record. The transcript has 3 exons. Lineage: Eukaryota; Metazoa; Chordata; Actinopteri; Salmoniformes; Salmonidae.
UUGUGUGAAACAAAAUGCUUUCGGGAGAACUGGACUGGCUGGUCUUACCGUACACGAGGAGGACGUUGUGUAGAGGUGGUCUUACCGUACACGAGGAGGACGUUGUGUAGAGCUGGUCUUACCGUACACGAGGAGGACGUUGUGUAGAGGUGGUCUACACUAGGAGGACGUUGUGUAGAGGUGGUCUACACUAGGAGGACGUUGUGUAGAGGUGGUCUUACCGUACACGAGGAGGACGUUGUGUAGAGGUGGUCUACACUAGGAGGACGUUGUGUAGAGGUGGUCUUACCGUACACGAGGAGGACGUUGUGUAGAGGUGGUCUUACCGUACACGAGGAGGACGUUGUGUAGAGGUGGUCUUACCGUACACGAGGAGGACGUUGUGUAGAGGUGGUCUACACUCGUCUCUAAUCCCUGCAGGAGAGACCUCUUCACCGGACCAGGAUAAGGUGCAGGAGAGACCUCUUCACCGGACCAGGAUAAGGUGCAGGAGAGACCUCUUCACUGGACCAGGAUAAGGUGCAGGAGAGACCUCUUCACUGGACAGGGAUAAGGUGCAGGAGAGACCUCUUCACUGGACAGGGAUAAGGUGCAGGAGAGACCUCUUCACUGGACCAGGAUAAGGUGCAGGAGAGACCUCUUCACCGGACCAGGAUAAGGUGCAGGAGAGACCUCUUCACCGGACCAGGAUAAGGUGCAGGAGAGACCUCUUCACCGGACCAGGAUAAGGUGCAGGAGAGACCUCUUCACUGGACAGGGAUAAGGUGCAGGAGAGACCUCUUCACGGGACCAGGAUAAGGUGCAGGAGAGACCUCUUCACUGGACAGGGAUAAGGUGCAGGAGAGACCUCUUCACUGGACAGGGAUAAGGUGCAGGAGAGACCUCUUCACGGGACCAGGAUAAACUCUACAUUAAUGCAGCACCCGUCUGAAAAAUCUGUCCAGUUGACUCACAGAACUUCUGUCAAGAGAUAUAACACCACAACAACGGCAGAACUUGAUGUUGUGUCCCACACAGACCAGAGGAACAGGGACUUCAGGACAUGGCAGAGCAGGGGGAAGCCCAGGGGACAGGAGAGGAACCACGAACACCCAACACGCCAUCCCUGAACCACCGGGGGACAGGAGAGGAACCACGAACACCCAACACGCCAUCCCUGAACCACCGGGGGACAGGGGGGACUUUCAGGGAGGGUCAAGAUGUGGAGAAGGGAGAAGUCAUAACCAGAUCCACGAGGGAGAAGAACGGUCGCUUCACCAACCCCUGGCCCACAUGGCACUACCCCUCCUCUGCCUCCCUGCUCCGGUUCUACCUACUAGAUAAGGACCACAGCAACGUACCCCGUUCCAA